UACGUAGGAGGCGAGCGUUAUCCGGAUUCACUGGGCGUAAAGCGUGUGCCGGCGGUUUGGUUAGUUGGAUGUGAAAGCUCCUGGCUCAACUGGGAGAGGUCGUUCAAUACUGCCAGACUAGAGGACGGUAGAGGAGAGUGGAAUUCCCGGUGUAGUGGUGAAAUGCGUAGAUAUCGGGAGGAACACCAGUGGCGAAAGCGGCUCUCUGGGCCGUUCCUGACGCUAAGACACGAAAGCGUGGGUAGCGAACGGG
RNAcentral lists this ribosomal RNA (253 nucleotides) under uncultured bacterium. RNAcentral's name for it is "partial 16S ribosomal RNA". It matches the Rfam family "Bacterial small subunit ribosomal RNA", at positions 524 to 776 of the family's 1533-position model. The record is from RNAcentral.